CUAUGUAGUUGCAAUUUCAUUUCCCGUCCACUAGGUGGCAGUAGAGACACUGUUAGGAAGGGAGAUACGUAGAUGAAGAGCACUGGUUGCUAUGGAUACAGAGCGAGAUACCGAUGAAAGAAAACGGAUCGCAUUGAAGAACAAUAAGCUUGAUUCCCAACGAACUUUCGCCGAACUUCCCUGGGUGCACGCGCGGCCAGCAGCAGUGACUGAGGAGCGUCUGGCCACUUGUCUCCUACAGCCGCGUCUCGUUCUCCAUCCAGGCUCCAGAGAUAAGGAGAUCCAUUGCACACACCCGCACGUGGGACACAUAAAAAAACCUACUACCCGGGUAGAUUGACACUUUUGGACGUUGAUAUUAUUUAUUUAUUUAUUUAAUUAUUUUAUUUUAUUUCUUUAAGCCAGAGCUCUGAGGUUUUCUUUUCUACUUUCUUAUUUCUUCUAUUUUUUCUAUUUAUUCUUCCUCCUUGAUGAAAAGGACAAUACCAAGGACAAUCUAAGGAGUCUAUACAGAGAAAAGAGUUCUCACUUGAGUGUUGUUUUUACAUGAAUAAAUGCCGGCAAUGCUUUGAAACUUUA
Engraulis encrasicolus (European anchovy) is the source of this 579-nucleotide long non-coding RNA. RefSeq lists it as uncharacterized. The record is from RefSeq and is a predicted model, not a curated record. NCBI's taxonomy places the organism in Eukaryota, Metazoa, Chordata, Actinopteri, Clupeiformes, Engraulidae. The transcript has 2 exons.